RNAcentral lists this ribosomal RNA (1130 nucleotides) under Bacteroides fragilis. RNAcentral describes it as "bacterial SSU rRNA". It matches the Rfam family "Bacterial small subunit ribosomal RNA", at positions 380 to 1520 of the family's 1533-position model. The record is from RNAcentral. Lineage: Bacteria; Pseudomonadati; Bacteroidota; Bacteroidia; Bacteroidales; Bacteroidaceae.
AGCCUGAACCAGCCAAGUAGCGUGAAGGAUGAAGGCUCUAUGGGUCGUAAACUUCUUUUAUAUAAGAAUAAAGUGCAGUAUGUAUACUGUUUUGUAUGUAUUAUAUGAAUAAGGAUCGGCUAACUCCGUGCCAGCAGCCGCGGUAAUACGGAGGAUCCGAGCGUUAUCCGGAUUUAUUGGGUUUAAAGGGAGCGUAGGUGGACUGGUAAGUCAGUUGUGAAAGUUUGCGGCUCAACCGUAAAAUUGCAGUUGAUACUGUCAGUCUUGAGUACAGUAGAGGUGGGCGGAAUUCGUGGUGUAGCGGUGAAAUGCUUAGAUAUCACGAAGAACUCCGAUUGCGAAGGCAGCUCACUGGACUGCAACUGACACUGAUGCUCGAAAGUGUGGGUAUCAAACAGGAUUAGAUACCCUGGUAGUCCACACAGUAAACGAUGAAUACUCGCUGUUUGCGAUAUACAGUAAGCGGCCAAGCGAAAGCAUUAAGUAUUCCACCUGGGGAGUACGCCGGCAACGGUGAAACUCAAAGGAAUUGACGGGGGCCCGCACAAGCGGAGGAACAUGUGGUUUAAUUCGAUGAUACGCGAGGAACCUUACCCGGGCUUAAAUUGCAGUGGAAUGAUGUGGAAACAUGUCAGUGAGCAAUCACCGCUGUGAAGGUGCUGCAUGGUUGUCGUCAGCUCGUGCCGUGAGGUGUCGGCUUAAGUGCCAUAACGAGCGCAACCCUUAUCUUCAGUUACUAACAGGUCAUGCUGAGGACUCUGGAGAGACUGCCGUCGUAAGAUGUGAGGAAGGUGGGGAUGACGUCAAAUCAGCACGGCCCUUACGUCCGGGGCUACACACGUGUUACAAUGGGGGGUACAGAAGGCAGCUAGCGGGUGACCGUAUGCUAAUCCCAAAAUCCUCUCUCAGUUCGGAUCGAAGUCUGCAACCCGACUUCGUGAAGCUGGAUUCGCUAGUAAUCGCGCAUCAGCCACGGCGCGGUGAAUACGUUCCCGGGCCUUGUACACACCGCCCGUCAAGCCAUGGGAGCCGGGGGUACCUGAAGUACGUAACCGCAAGGAUCGUCCUAGGGUAAAACUGGUGACUGGGGCUAAGUCGUAACAAGGUAGCCGUACCGGAAGGUGCGGCUG